Molecule: ribosomal RNA, 531 nt
Filed under: Triticum aestivum (bread wheat)
Lineage: Eukaryota; Viridiplantae; Streptophyta; Magnoliopsida; Poales; Poaceae
Description: partial small subunit ribosomal RNA
Source: RNAcentral
AUGGACGACGGGAACCUCGACUGCUCCUCCAUGGGCAGCUACUUCGACGGCAUCCUCAUGGACACGGAGCAGGUUGCGUGCUGCACCCACACCCACACCUGCCUCCACGUCCACUCCAAGAUCGCCGCCUCCGCCUCCUCCGAUGCCGGCGCGGAGACCCCGGCCGAGUUCGAGGACGCCCACGUCACCUCCAGGAGCAAGAGGCGCCGCCCGUCGGGCAACCAGGCGGCCGUGCGCAAGUACCGGGAGAAGAAGAAGGCGCACACGGCGCUGCUGGAGGAGGAGGCGGCCCGUCUCAGGGCUAUGAACAAGGAGCUCGCCAAGAAGGUCCAGGACCACGCCGCGCUCGAGGCCGAGGCGGCCAGGCUCCACUGCCUGCUCGUCGACGUCAGGGGGAGGAUCGAAGGGGAGAUCGGCGCCUUCCCUUACCAGCGGCGGCCGGCCAAGGGCGCCGGUCAGGGCGGUGCCCAGGUUAUGAGCUCGUGUGAUUUCAUAGCAACCUGUGAACAACCUCAUACGUGUUUUCUCUAA